UGGGGAAUUUUGGACAAUGGGGGAAACCCUGAUCCAGCCAUCCCGCGUGUGCGAUGAAGGCCUUCGGGUUGUAAAGCACUUUUGGCAGGAAAGAAACGUCAUGGGUUAAUACCCCGUGAAACUGACGGUACCUGCAGAAUAUGCACCGGCUAACUACGUGCCAGCAGCCGCGGUAAUACGUAGGGUGCAAGCGUUAAUCGGAAUUACUGGGCGUAAAGCGUGCGUAGGCGGUUCGGAAAGAAAGAUGUGAAAUCCCAGAGCUCAACUUUGGAACUGCAUUUUUAACUACCGGGCUAGAGUGUGUCAGAGGGAGGUGGAAUUCCGCGUGUAGCAGUGAAAUGCGUAGAUAUGCGGAGGAACACCGAUGGCGAAGGCAGCCUCCUGGGAUAACACUGACGCUCAUGCACGAAAGCGUGGGGAGCAAACAGG
Molecule: ribosomal RNA, 429 nt
Filed under: Acidobacteriota bacterium
Lineage: Bacteria; Pseudomonadati; Acidobacteriota
Description: Acidobacteria bacterium partial 16S ribosomal RNA
Rfam family: Bacterial small subunit ribosomal RNA
Source: RNAcentral